This 427-nucleotide ribosomal RNA is filed under the name uncultured bacterium. RNAcentral's name for it is "bacterial SSU rRNA". It matches the Rfam family "Bacterial small subunit ribosomal RNA", at positions 355 to 774 of the family's 1533-position model. The record is from RNAcentral.
UGGGGAAUUUUGGACAAUGGGCGCAAGCCUGAUCCAGCAAUGCCGCGUGCAGGAUGAAGGCCUUCGGGUUGUAAACUGCUUUUGUACGGAGCGAAAAGGUCUGCCCUAAUACAUGGGGCUAAUGACGGUACCGUAAGAAUAAGCACCGGCUAACUACGUGCCAGCAGCCGCGGUAAUACGUAGGGUGCGAGCGUUAAUCGGAAUUACUGGGCGUAAAGCGUGCGCAGGCGGUUAUAUAAGACAGAUGUGAAAUCCCCGGGCUCAACCUGGGACCUGCACUUGUGACUGUAUAGCUAGAGUACGGUAGAGGGGGAUGGAAUUCCGCGUGUAGCAGUGAAAUGCGUAGAUAUGCGGAGGAACACCGAUGGCGAAGGCAAUCCCCUGGACCUGUACUGACGCUCAUGCACGAAAGUGUGGGGAGCAAACA